Molecule: ribosomal RNA, 986 nt
Filed under: Salmonella enterica subsp. enterica serovar Albany
Lineage: Bacteria; Pseudomonadati; Pseudomonadota; Gammaproteobacteria; Enterobacterales; Enterobacteriaceae
Description: partial 23S ribosomal RNA
Rfam family: Bacterial large subunit ribosomal RNA
Source: RNAcentral
GGGUUGUGAGGUUAAGCGACUAAGCGUACACGGUGGAUGCCCUGGCAGUCAGAGGCGAUGAAGGACGUGCUAAUCUGCGAUAAGCGCCGGUAAGGUGAUAUGAACCGUUAUAACCGGCGAUUUCCGAAUGGGGAAACCCAGUGUGAUUCGUCACACUAUCAUUAACUGAAUCCAUAGGUUAAUGAGGCGAACCGGGGGAACUGAAACAUCUAAGUACCCCGAGGAAAAGAAAUCAACCGAGAUUCCCCCAGUAGCGGCGAGCGAACGGGGAGGAGCCCAGAGCCUGAAUCAGCAUGUGUGUUAGUGGAAGCGUCUGGAAAGGCGCGCGAUACAGGGUGACAGCCCCGUACACAAAAAUGCACAUGCUGUGAGCUCGAUGAGUAGGGCGGGACACGUGGUAUCCUGUCUGAAUAUGGGGGGACCAUCCUCCAAGGCUAAAUACUCCUGACUGACCGAUAGUGAACCAGUACCGUGAGGGAAAGGCGAAAAGAACCCCGGCGAGGGGAGUGAAAAAGAACCUGAAACCGUGUACGUACAAGCAGUGGGAGCACCCUUUGGGGUGUGACUGCGUACCUUUUGUAUAAUGGGUCAGCGACUUAUAUUCUGUAGCAAGGUUAACCGUAUAGGGGAGCCGGAGGGAAACCGAGUCUUAACCGGGCGUUAAGUUGCAGGGUAUAGACCCGAAACCCGGUGAUCUAGCCAUGGGCAGGUUGAAGGUUGGGUAACACUAACUGGAGGACCGAACCGACUAAUGUUGAAAAAUUAGCGGAUGACCUGUGGCUGGGGGUGAAAGGCCAAUCAAACCGGGAGAUAGCUGGUUCUCCCCGAAAGCUAUUUAGGUAGCGCCUCGUGAACUCAUCUCCGGGGGUAGAGCACUGUUUCGGCUAGGGGGCCAUCCCGGCUUACCAACCCGAUGCAAACUGCGAAUACCGGAGAAUGUUAUCACGGGAGACACACGGCGGGUGCUAACGUCCGUCGUGAAGAGG